GACGAACGCUGGCGGCGUGCUUAACACAUGCAAGUCGAACGGAAAGGCUCCUGCUUGCAGCGGUACUCGAGUGGCGAACGGGUGAGUAUCACGUGGGUGCUCUGCCCUGCACUUCGGGAAAAGCCUGGGAAACUGGGUCUAAUACCGGAAAGGACGAAGGUUUGGAUGCUAUUCUGGAAAGUGUUUCGGUGUGGGAUGAGCUAGCGGCCUAUCAGCUUGUUGGUGGGGUAAUGGUCUACCAAGGCGUCGACGGGUAGCCGGCCUGAGAGGGUGUACGGCCACAGUGGGACUGAGAUGCGGCCCAGACUCCUACGGGAGGCAGAGGUGGGGAGUAGUGCACAAUGGGCGCAAGCCUGAUGCAGCGACGCCGCGUGGGGAAUGACGGCCUGCGGGUUGGAAACUCCUUUCGCUAGGGACGAAGCGCAAGUGACGGUACCGGGAGAAGAAGCACCGGCUAACUACGUG
Molecule: ribosomal RNA, 465 nt
Filed under: uncultured bacterium
Lineage: Bacteria
Description: partial 16S ribosomal RNA
Rfam family: Bacterial small subunit ribosomal RNA
Source: RNAcentral